AUGAUUCCCCCUUCUGAAGAGGAGAUCUUCGAUGCGAUCCGAACUGCCAAUUCUAACGCGGCUUCCAGGCUUGAUGGUUUCUCCAUCCCUUUCUUUAGGCAGUUCUGGCCUCAGUUAAAAGGCCUCAUUCAGGCAAUUAUUCAAGGUUUUUGGCUGGGAACUAUUGACAUCUCUAGAUUGAAUUACGCGGUGCUCACUCUCAUCCCUAAGGUCAAAGGUGCUGACUUGAUCUCCCAGUUUAGGCCCAUUGCCUUAAUUAACAACUUUGCGAAGAUCCCGGCUAAGGGUCUGGCUACAAGGCUUUCUCCGAUCGCCCAUCGCGUCAUUAGCCCUUUCCAAUCGGCGUUUAUAAAGGGUAGAUUUAUUCUGGAUGGUGUUCUAUGCUUGCAUGAGAUUGUCCAUGACUUGCGGACCAAGGGCACUAAGGCAGUGGUUCUUAAACUUGACUUCGAGAAGGCUUAUGACUCGGUGAGCUGGAAUUUUCUUCGCCAAGUCCUU
Molecule: ribosomal RNA, 498 nt
Filed under: Triticum aestivum (bread wheat)
Lineage: Eukaryota; Viridiplantae; Streptophyta; Magnoliopsida; Poales; Poaceae
Description: partial small subunit ribosomal RNA
Source: RNAcentral